CGGCUAACUCUGUGCCAGCAGCCGCGGUAAGACAGAGGUGCAAACGUUGUUCGGAAUUACGUGGCGUAAAGCGCGUGUAGGCCGCUUGGAAAGUCGGAUGUGAAAGCCCUGGGCUCAACCUAGGAAGUGCAUUCGAAACUUCCAAGCUGGAGUGCUGGAGAGGAAAGCGGAAUUCUCGGUGUAGAGGUGAAAUUCGUAGAUAUCGAGAGGAACACCGGUGGCGAAGGCGGCUUUCUGGACAGUCACUGACGCUGAGACGCGAAAGCGUGGGGAGCAAACAGGAUUAGAUACCCUGGUAGUCCACGCCGUAAACGAUGGGUGCUAGGUGUCGCGGGCUUUGACCCCUGCGGUGCCGUAGCUAACGCAUUAAGCACCCCGCCUGGGGAGUACGGCCGCAAGGCUAAAACUCAAAGGAAUUGACGGGG
This 425-nucleotide ribosomal RNA is filed under the name uncultured bacterium. RNAcentral's name for it is "bacterial SSU rRNA". It matches the Rfam family "Bacterial small subunit ribosomal RNA", at positions 494 to 918 of the family's 1533-position model. The record is from RNAcentral.